UUUUUGUCUACUGCUGUUGCUGUUGGCAUUUUGCGUGUUUCUUUAUUGUUUUUGUUGUGCAGUGUGUGUGUGUGUGUGUGUGUGUGCGAAUGCUUUAGUAGCAAACUCUUUAGCAGUCAUCUAGCCAACCAUUAAUGUCUCUCUUGUCUGCGUGUUUGGUAA
Drosophila arizonae is the source of this 162-nucleotide long non-coding RNA. Lineage: Eukaryota; Metazoa; Arthropoda; Insecta; Diptera; Drosophilidae. The record is from RefSeq and is a predicted model, not a curated record.